UACGUAGGGACCGAGCGUUGUCCGGAAUCAUUGGGCGUAAAGAGCGUGUAGGCGGCUUGUUAAGUCUUGCGUGAAAUCUCGGGGCUCAACCCCGAGCGGUCGUGAGAAACUGGCAGGCUAGAGUGCGGGAGAGGAGAGUGGAAUUCCUGGUGUAGCGGUGAAAUGCGCAGAUAUCAGGAAGAACACCCGUGGCGAAGGCGGCUCUCUGGAACGCAACUGACGCUGAGACGCGAAAGCAUGGGGAGCGAACAGG
RNAcentral lists this ribosomal RNA (253 nucleotides) under uncultured bacterium. RNAcentral describes it as "partial 16S ribosomal RNA". It matches the Rfam family "Bacterial small subunit ribosomal RNA", at positions 524 to 776 of the family's 1533-position model. The record is from RNAcentral.